GUGUGUGUGAGUGUGUGUGUGUGUGAGUGUGUGUGUGUGUGUGAGUGUGUGAGUGUGUGAGUGUGUGAGUGUGUGAGUGUGUGAGUGUGUGAGUGUGUGAGUGUGUGAGUGUGAGUGUGUGAGUGUGAGUGUGAGUGUGAGUGUGAGUGUGAGUGUGAGUGUGAGAGUGAGUGAGAGUGUGUGUGUGCGCGACCAAGCAUGAGUGUGCGAUAAUUGCCGAUGACUCAUUUUGCCUUAUUUAUGUUGCGCAUUGGAAUCUCUCGCCGUGCCUCGUCAGCCGUUAAUUUCAUUACGGUGCUCGUAUCGUCUCCGUCGCUCUCCGUUCAAUUACCCUCUCAUCGGCGUGCGUUUUCCGCCGAGUCAACGUGCAACACCACGCAGAGGAAGCCGUCACCCCAUCGGGGUCGAUUCGAUGACCGUUUCACAAAGGCUACACCGUUACGUGUCUACUCCACCGGGCUAGGCAGAAAUCCGUACGGCGUACGUGCGCGUCGGAAACCCGUUUCCUGAUUAAGUUUCACAGCCUACGCUUCGAGUCCAUGGCGAAGAGCGUGCCGCACACCUCUCGUGUAACAAAUCAAUUAGGGGCCAAUCAGCAAUAUGAAAGUCGUGUUAAUUCUUUUAAUAUUUCCACGCGCCCCCGGGAGGAAGUGCUGCGCUUAAUUAACGCCGAGACCGUCGGAAGGUGCUAAUUAAGAGGAGUUGGUUCAAAGAGUUUAGGUUUAGGAGCCGUAAUGAGGAUUUCGAGCCUCGGGGACGUCUGGUGCGAGUCCACCGAAGUUCACCGGCGGUGAUCUUCAUCCAGAUGCUCACCUCUGGAGAGAAUUAAAGCAGUCGGUGUAGUUAUAUCUUGACGUGUACUACUAGUUUGUGCAAACAAUACAGCUGAGCGCGUUGUAUUAACACGUGACGCUUCUUACCAUAGUUUCAGCUGGUUGUUACUAAACUCCGUGAACCGCACGGCUUUACACACGCCCGAUCUAAUCUACUGCUCGGGUGAAGAUGUCGCGUGUGCACCGUGUUAAAAGUAACCGCUUAUUUGUGCUUUUUUUUUUUUUAAAAAAAGAAAAUAUUUCGGAAUAAUAAUGAAGCCAUUAUGAACUCUCGAAUUAUGCAGUGACCCAGAACAGUGUUUAAAAACUUUUUUUUUUUUUUUUUUAGACGUGCGCCAAGCAACAAUGAGAGAACAUUGAGAUCAGAGACCCGCCCACUCGGUUUCUAUUGGCUUAAAAGAGCGAGGAUUGUGAAUUCGCAGGUCUCAGUUCACCUAGUUAAAGUUAACAGAAAGCAAACUAAAGUGAGUAAUAGAAGUGUGACUUUCACGUCCCAUGCUCUUUCCCCUUAACGUUAAUUGGCUUCUCACUGGGAGAAUUGUAUUGCCGUUUGGUCUGACUGAUGGUUUUGGCUUUAAAAAAAUAAAUAAAUAAAUAAAAAAAAAAAGCUUGAAAAAAUAAAAAUAAUUGUAGCUCACCUGGAAAAAAAAAAUAAAUAAAAAGAAAAGUUUUACUUUUCUGCUAGUCGAAGCACGGGGAGAACAUGCUAACUCCACGCACACAGAUCCGGAGGCGGGAAUCGAACCCCCAACCCUGGAGGUGCGAGGCGAAUGUGCUAACCGCUGAACCACCGUGCCCCACUAAUCUGUAUUAAUUACCCAAAUGAACUAAAUGUAGAAUUUAAUCUCAGACCGUCCUUCUGUAGCGUAUUUAUCAUCAGGUUCUGAAGUGACCGUAGACGUGCCGUUCUCGAUGUCAUGUAUUUAGAACUGAUUAUCGACCGUAUCGCGUACCAGUCUACUUAAAUUUACCGCCGAAAUCGACUCGGGAUCUAGGAAGCUCAGGAAACGUAUAAUGGAAAUGCGGGUAUGAAACGAGGCUUUAAAUACACGUACUGAUAAGGAACUAAUCACGAACAGCUGGGUACAAAGCGUCGACGUGACAAAGGGCGGAGACGGGGCAAGAAACGGGAAUAACGAUCGGGACAAUAAGAGCACGGGCUAUGCGGAUGCUCAGAGGGGAUUCGUGACACCCGUGUUCUACCGAAGGCCUGUUUUAAUGUUAGAGUUAAUCAAUCUAAUCGAUCAAUAAUCACUCUGGUGUUCAGUUCUUGAUUAAAACGCUGCUGUAGGGCGUUCACAUGGCUUUUAUAGUAUAAAUUCUCAGUCAUGCUGGUUUUUCACGGCUCUGUGAUUCUUACCAUUUUAAAAAAAUCCAGAAAAAAAAACAAACAAACGUUUUAAACUUCCAGAACCUUCCAGGAUUAAGGAGAGUACAGGAGGGUGUAAUAAUAUUACCAGCUGUGUAGUCGGCGAUGGCAAAGAAAGUUAAUAUCUGCGCAAGUCAUUCCAGAUUUGUCUCUCUGGCUCAUCUCCUAUUGUAUUCGGAAUUGAAAAAAAUAAUAACGAGACCGCUCUUUGUGACAUACUAGCAUACGCCAAUGUUAAAUUGCAGCGCUUUUCGGCAGGUCCGCACAUCUGGAAAUAUCAUCGAAUCGGAGUAAAUCGCUGGAAAUCACGCCGAUCAAAUCGUUCACAUCACACGAGCCUGUCCUCGUUGUAGACGUCGUAACCCGUGGUCAUAGCGAGUCUAAAUAAUAGCACCUUUUCUAAAACUCAAAUACAUCUCUGAGAUAAUAUCCAAACUUAUUACACGGCGCGAAUCUAAAUCUAAUAUAAUACAGGACAAGAGCCACGAUGAAGGAAACGACAACAACAAAAAAGUGUUGAGUGAAUAAGUUUUUUUUUUGUUUGUUGUUUUUAAAGAACAGAAGUCAAAAGAAACAUUUUUUUUUUUCCCUUUUGGACCUCUCCUCCUUGCCAUAAAGUUUAUUUUCUCCGAUCUCAGAUCCUCAAAAUGUUCCUUAAGGACAAGUCAAUAAAGCGCUAUAAAUACAAACUGCUUCCUCACGUCCUCUGGGAUUUGCCUAGUGCCAGAAGUUACACGUUCUGCUGAGGCAAACACGGGUCAGGUUCUUUUGCUCCUCAAGCAACCCUUACUUUUUUAAAUGUUUUUAUUUAAAAUAAACAGUAAAAAAAACAAAAAAAACACGACGCCUAACUUUUAUUGAGGUCGGUCUGUUCUGCGUCUGCCCUGGAAACAGAAUGCGACUCGAAUGCUGCCGCAGCUUUCCUCCGUCCUUUCGGCUUCGUACGAGGACGGCCGAUAGGUCAAGAUGUGCUCGGGGCACGCAUCGUACCUAAAGGGACAUCUGCUCCCGUGCUCCAGAGACCGCAGCGUGCUUCACUUAAUGCUAAUGCGGGAGGACGAGAACGAGGCAGCGACGGUAAACAACUAAACUGUGAGGAUAAAAUCAGUUGGGGAAAGAUUCCGGAGGGUUUGGACGGGAUCUGGAACAGGCUUCAGUGUUUCCAGAGAUAAUUAUUUGACUUUGCGUUACGUUUUGUAAAAAAAAUAAAUGUUGUGGCGUUGAUCUUGAUGAUUUACCUCAUCAUCGCCGAGAUAUUUUGAAAAUGAUCUAUUUAUUUGCUUGUUUAUGAAGCAGGUGGCCAAGGACGAGGGUCUUGUAAACAAGAUUUUUGUGUUAUUUUUUUAAUCCGGGGGCCAAGCACUAAAGGUGCAUAGGCACCCUAUUGUUGCAUUUAGAUGAACUGAAGUGCGCACUGAAAUGAGAGAUUUGACGUAGCUGAACGUCACCGUUCGAGGGUUCCAGAGUCAAAAAAAAAGAAACGUCCCUGGUGCUUUUAUUUCUUCCUGAAUGGAAAUUUUAGAUUAUUUCGAUGAACUUUUUGAUUAUUGUGAAACUGCUUUUAACUUCUUCUGUUGUGUGUUAAAAUGUGCA
Molecule: long non-coding RNA, 3795 nt
Organism: Ictalurus punctatus (channel catfish)
Lineage: Eukaryota; Metazoa; Chordata; Actinopteri; Siluriformes; Ictaluridae
Source: Ensembl